RNAcentral lists this long non-coding RNA (1096 nucleotides) under Pan troglodytes (chimpanzee). RNAcentral describes it as "lincRNA". The record is from RNAcentral. Lineage: Eukaryota; Metazoa; Chordata; Mammalia; Primates; Hominidae.
GUGACAUGUUGCUGGACCCAACACCUACAGGAUUGGAUCAGAGGCUACUGAAUAAGCCCUGCCCAUAGGCGGCCUUGUGACAUAUGUCUGCAUCUAUCGCCUAAGUGAUGUGACUCUUUUUCUGCCUGCAGCCUGCACAUAGAGAAGAUUGUGACAUAUCGCUUUGCCCAGUAACCAGGUGAUGUGUCUUUUCUGGCAGGUCUUUUCCCACAGGGAGCACUGUGAAACAUCACUGGGCUCAGCCACCAGGUUAUGUGACUCUUCUGCCUGUGCCCUGCUUCCAGAAAAUAUUGUGACAUCCCUCAUACAGCAUCCAGGUGAUGUGACUCUUCUGCUCAUUUUCUACUUACAGGAGACAUGCCCAAAAAAGGGAUUGUGGCAUAUCUCUGAGCCCAGCACCCAAAUGUUGUGACUCUCCUGCCUGAGCUGUGCCUAGAGAAAAUAUUAUAAUAUGUCACUGGACCCUGCAUGCAAGUGAUCCAAUUCUCCAGUCUGGGCCUUGCCCAUAGAGGAGAUUGAGACAUAUUCCAGGUGAAGAAUUCAGGUCAUGCAAAUGGAGGCGGAUUUUGACAUAUCAUAAAGCCAACAUAAUACACAGUCUACAGGUGGAAUUGGGACUCUCAUGCAUGGAUCCAGUUCAUCAUUGAUACUGUGACUCAUGUACUUGGAUGCAACUCACAGGAGGUGUUGACGCUUUUACCUGAAGCUGGGACAUGUGUGGAAUUGUGAAUCUUAGCCCUAGAUCUUCCCACAGGUGGGAUUUUGACAUAUAACUGCACCCAGCACACGGGUGAAGCAUCUUGUAUGCUCAUCCUGCCAAAAGUUAUGAGUGUCACCCUCACACAUGGACAGAGACCUCUGGUUAGGUCUUGAAUCUUGUACAUGGACACAGUCCACAGUUGGAAUGUCAUAUGUAGAUCCAGCCAAAGGUGUGAUGUUGACCUAUUUAUAAAGUUAGCUCACAGGCACAUUGAUAACUCUCAUACCUGGAUCCAGCCAAAAGUGUGAUGUUGACCUAUUUAUAAAGUUAGCUCACAGGCACAUUGAUAACUCUCAUACCUGGAUCCAGCCAAUAAAAGAUAUGUUGACUAUUAUA